UGAAUGUGAAAUAAUAGAAGUUCUCCGAAGUUUAAUUACACUAAAGUUAAGUUACUUAAAGUUCUCCCUAAACCCUCAAACAUUGUGAUUGGUGAUUUUCAACAUGAACAACAAUACGAAACGGACGAAAGAGAAGAAGGAAAAACAAAGAAGCCAUUCUCGAAGGUACUUCAUUUCAUUUUCAUUUUGACGUGUGGGAGACUCUUUAUUAUUCGGUCGCAUCACUUUGGUACCUAGGAAACGCAACGACCGUUCCUCCAGCGCUCAAAAUGCCAGUUUUGUACACCGCGGUUGCGGUCUAUUACCCCAUCGAUGUGGUAAAAAUGAAUGUGAACUUGAUAAAAAAAGCAAGUUCUUAUGCACGAGUCCAAGAGAGUCAUUUUUACCAGAAGAAUAGAAAUUUUUAGGUAGCGCGCAUUGAAUUUGACACUUGUUCUUUUGAGAAAUCACGGAAGUGCAGAAUGAGUGAUGAACAGCUACUACUGAUGACUUUACCCGAAAUGACGAUGAAGAUGAAGAACAUAGACGACGAAUAAAUCCUGCCAGGAAAAAAACCGUGAUCAAAGGACGAAGCCCUCGAUAUGUAAACCAAGGGGCAGCAAAUGGUCACCAUUGAAAGACUUGUGGCAGGAUGGCUCUGAAUUAAUAAACAAAGCAGCACAAAUACUGACAGUAUGGCGAUUUGGGGGAACAGUCCUGUCGCUCAAUGCUCUAGUCACAAACCGCAAGCUUUUCGAGCAGAUCGAAAGCUCGGUAGAGGUUUGCAAAUUUUGAUUAGAUCUCGAUUGCAGUGUAAUAAUUUCGUUCGAGAGUUACUCCUGCAAAUGAGAGAAAAGCUGGUUCCAGCUGGCAAUUCUAAAAACAAGACUGUUUCACCAAAUAAUUCCACGAGUACUGAACUCAUUGGCGAUGUGAUAGAUAAAAGUCUGGAGAAUUUUUGCCACAAUCCUGUUGGCUGUAUGGGAGUUAAAAGGAUAGAGAGAUCCAAAAUAUGUACAUGA
Molecule: long non-coding RNA, 1001 nt
Filed under: Bemisia tabaci
Lineage: Eukaryota; Metazoa; Arthropoda; Insecta; Hemiptera; Aleyrodidae
Description: lncRNA ENSSSA3NGG005947
Source: RNAcentral